CCCCUCGACCUGUUCCAGAAGCUGCUGUACCAGCUACUCUGGAGGGCGUACCUCCUCCUCGACCUGUUCCAGAAGCUGCUGUGCCAGCCACUCUGGAGGGCAGCGUCUUUGUGCAUUCGAGCAAGUUUGCUCAACCGGAGGGGGAUGACAAGACUCUGUGUGUUGAUGAGUGGCCGUUUCUUCAAACAGAGUUUUGUGAGGUGAACCAGCCAACUGCUCGGGUUGUCUCUGGACAGAGAAAACAAGAGGAGCCAACACCUUGGGGUCCAAAAGUUGUGAUGGCCCAGGCUGAUAAACCAACAGCCAAUGAGACCAGCUUCUUGGGGUGUUCAACCAAGAUGACACACAUUGAGGACCACGAGCCGUUUGAACCAGCACCUGAGGUCACUGCGAGCAGUCAGCAGCAGAGCCCGCCUGAGGACAAUGGCCAGCUUGAAGAUCCUCAUGUAACACUUGGCAAUCAGCCAAGUGCACACUG
This is a long non-coding RNA of Gadus morhua (Atlantic cod), 478 nucleotides long. The record is from Ensembl. Lineage: Eukaryota; Metazoa; Chordata; Actinopteri; Gadiformes; Gadidae.